Long non-coding RNA from Astatotilapia calliptera (eastern happy), 953 nucleotides. Lineage: Eukaryota; Metazoa; Chordata; Actinopteri; Cichliformes; Cichlidae. The record is from Ensembl.
GUGCUGUACGGUGUACAUUUUAGGACAUCGUCAGGUAUCAGAAAAAAAAUUGUCAGGUGUCAGUUGUCAAAAAAAAAAUUGUCAGUCAGGUAUCAGACAAAAAAUUGUCAGGUGUCAGAAAAAAAGUUGUCAGGUAUCAGAAAAAAAAUUGUCAGGUGUCAGAAAAAAAGUUGUCAGGUGUCAGAAAAAAAAUUGUCAGGUGUCAGAAAAAAAGUUGUCAGGUGUCAGAAAAAAAAUUGUCAGGUGUCAGAAAAAAAAUUGUCAGGUGUCAGAAAAAAAGUUGUCAGGUGUCAGAAAAAAAAUUGUCAGGUGUCAGAAAAAAAAUUGUCAGGUGUUAGAAAAAAAAUUGUCAGGUGUCAGAAAAAAAGUUGUCAGGUGUCAGAACACAAGGUACCAGAGAGAAAAUCUUCCUGCAGGUGGCGCUGUUGUCAUGUCCCACCCGAAUUGAUUUCCAAAUACGUCAUCAACGUGUGACCGUGGGAGAGCGUAAGGUCAUUGACCUCACCGGAGUUUUACCGUGGUUCAGGCUCCUAACGACACAAGGUAAGUUUAACUUUUUCUCCCUUUUGUUCAUAUUUUUGCCACAGUUGUGUUAUAUUAAGUUGCAGUUAUGUUGUGAAAGUUACAUAUCAGAGACGGAAAGCCAGUUUUGUACGAAACCAAAUCAGUACUAUUUUUGUCUGGCUAAUUCAUUCUAGCUAGCGACAGUGGUGAAACGUGAUUCAAAUUUAAACUGUUCAGUAAUUGUUUUGUAUACAUUUCAGCAAAUGGACAAGCUGAAAGCUUACGAGCAGCUUAAAAAAGACCUUGAAAAUGGUAAUCCAACACUUUAUUAAACUUUUUGGUAAUGCUUGCAAGUUAAUUUUUUUAACUGCAAAGAACCCUGACAAUAUCAUGCUUUAAUUAUUUAACAUGUAUGGUAUUCAUAUUUACUUCUCUUUAUUAAUAUGCAU